This 2799-nucleotide unclassified non-coding RNA is filed under the name Rhopalosiphum maidis (corn leaf aphid). RNAcentral's name for it is "coagulation factor X-like, transcript variant X2". The record is from RNAcentral. Lineage: Eukaryota; Metazoa; Arthropoda; Insecta; Hemiptera; Aphididae.
GGUGUACUGCAAUAUUUAGUUUAUAAAUCGCGUAAUACUAUAUGAAUAUAAUAAACCCGUGUAGUAUUUCGUAUUGUAAACAUACACCCACAUAAUAUUAUAUCGUAUAGCUUUGGACGCGUCGGGCGAUAAAGUGCACCCGAUUAUCGAGGGGCGGUCACCUUCGUGGGCACUCCGGACCAUGGAAAUCCGCGUAUCAUACGUCGCCGUAGUGUUCACCUGUUGCUGUGGCUGGCUGUCCAGCGUACGAGGCCACGCGAUUGACUUUAAAACCAUGCCCAUGACCCUACUGAAUGCCACCAAUUUCAUUAUGCGACACCAGAGGUAUUUGCUGCAAGACCACGAACGCGCGACUGACGUACAGGAAUCGAGUAACGAAGUGAACAUGAAUAUUGAUGAGAACGUAGACGGCUUUGUUAACAGCCCUUUAGUUUUAACUACUGAAGUGUGCAACCCGAGAAAAUGUCAAGCCGGUAAAAUGGAAGGAGUGUGUAUUAGCGGCGAAUCGUGUUUCAAACACGGUGGUCAGACCGGAAACCCUUGCAACGGAUCGAGUAAUCUGAUUUGUUGCACAUUUAUACUUACGUGCGGUGACGUCUCCAAUCAAAAAGUGACGUACCUGCAGUCUCCUGACAAUUUAAAAAUGGAUACGGGCAGUUUGGCAUGUGAUUAUGAUGUAAUGGUUCAAAAGGAUACGUGUGCCGUCCGUGUGGAUUAUGAAAAAGUGAAUCUCGCCAGCAAGAUAGGAGGAGUAUGUGACAUAGAUCAAGUUUACAUUUUGAAUUCCAACGAUGGACCGACGACGGGUCAGUGUGGAGCAUUGACUGGUUACAGCACUGUCGUUGCUGUGAAACCUAACCAAGAAAAACCUUUGAAAAUAGCAAUGGUUGUUCAGAGUGAACCGACCGAAUAUUGGCUGAUCAAAGUGUCACAAAUAGGUUGUUCCGAAAUAAAACCACUCAAAGAAUCACCCGACUGCGGUCUGAGGUCCGUCCGACAAAUGAACAACGACAACUUCGACGAUCAAUCACCGCACCUGACGCCGUCGUUAGAACCCGGACGUUGUGGCGGCAGAGGUGGCAGUGGCGGUACUAGUGACAAGGGUAUCAGUGGUGGCAAUGGCGUCAGUGGCAGCGACGGUGCCGGCAACGCUAUGAGUCAACGGCUUAAGCGUCGCUCUGCGGUCUAUGGCGGCGUGCACGACGUCCUACAACCGUGGCGAAUGAGCCGGUCUGGAGGUCACUUCGGGUCAGCUAGAGAACGGUUGCACACCGUGCGGCGCGAAGAAUUCAGGGACGGUGACAACCGGAGGAUUAUUGGCAGCGACGAGGCGGACAUUGGCGAGCACACCUGGCAAGUGGCCAUCGCCUUGGACGGGGUGUUCUUCUGCGGUGGUGCGUUGAUCGCCGAUCGAUUCGUCAUCACUGCUGCCCACUGUGUCAUGACACGUGACACGCCGAUGGACAACUUGAUGGUGCAUCUGGGCGACUACGAUUUGACUGCGGAAAACGAAACCGAACACCAAGCUCGGAAAGUGUCUCGCGUGCUGUUCCACUCUCAUUUCCAUCCGUUCUUAUUGGCUAACGAUAUAGCGCUGUUACAGCUCGAUCAGCCGGUCGCCGCUAGCGACACAGUCCGGCCCGUGUGUUUGCCGUUCACCGACGGCGAGUCGUAUGUGGGCCAAAAAGGCACUGUCGUGGGAUGGGGGAUCACUGCGUUCCCGGCGGGCGAUCCUAGCCCCACGUUGCAGAAACUCUCCGUGGAAGUCCUGUCAAACUUCCAGUGUUCCCGCGUCAUCGACGAUCAUGUAGGUCUAGGCAUGCUGUGCGCCGCUGCGCCAUCGUUGCAGGGGACGUGUUUCGGUGACAGCGGUGGCCCCCUGACCGUGGAACGGGACACCGGAAGAAACGUUUUGAUCGGCCUGGUGAGUUAUGGCGUGACGGGCUGCGCGGUCAAGCCCGCUUUUCCCGACUUGUACACCAGAAUAUCCGAGUACGCCAAAUGGAUUGACGUCAGCACCUCGUAGUAAUAAUAAUACUAAUGAAUAAUGAUAAUAAAGAUAAUUAUAAUGUAGUACACAGUCGUUGAGCACACAGUUUUAUACAUUUUAUAAUAUUAUAUUCAUAACGAUAAAAUGCCUGUUCGAUAGGUGGUGACAUGAUAACAAUAUUAUUAUAUUACCUCGACACAGACUAAGAACACACUGUAGUCACCAUGUCUAUGCAUAUUUUAUUUAUGAUAUUAUUAUUACAAUUCACGAGAACCUUUCAUAUUAUAUAUAAUAUAUGAACUAUAAUAUACCAGUCAUCGCUUGCGCCGUCCUUUGCCCUAUAUGUAUAAUGUAUAUUGUAUGAUUUAUUAUUUCUACCCAGACGUGCACAUGUGCCGCCGCGAUCUCGACGGCAGAAAUAAUUUGAUUAUUAGCAUUAUUAUUAUUAUUAUUAUUAUUUUUGAUCCUGAUUUCAAAAACAGACGUAACAAUAAAUAUCGUAUUAUGCUUGUGCUUAAAUUAAAAUAACACACAAGUUCCUAAUCCUAAUGGCCAGUGAGAAAUACCUCAUCACCAGUUGCAAUGUACAACUUGCACCACUUGCGGUGUUAAUCUAAUAGUAAAAUACAUAACAACAAAAUGCUAACCAAUUCAUCAACGACCAAAAAAAAUAUAACGUUCCACCCAACAUGAACGAACCAUUAGGUUCCAACACAAUGAACGGCUGCAUACAAACUGAGUCCCAAUAAAACCUUCGAGUCCCCGAUUGUUUUAAGAGCCGUAAGUCUGUAUACAUCAUUAUUUUGGAG